AGAGUUUGAUCAUGGCUCAGAACGAACGCUGGCGGCAGGCCUAACACAUGCAAGUCGAACGUGAAGCCACCUUCGGGUGGUGGAAAGUGGCAGACGGGUGAGUAACGCGUGGGAACGUGGCUUUCGGUUCGGAAUAACCCAGGGAAACUUGGGCUAAUACCGGAUACGCCCUUCGGGGGAAAGAUUCAUCGCCGAAAGAUCGGCCCGCGUCGGAUUAGCUAGUUGGUAGGGUAAUGGCCUACCAAGGCGACGAUCCGUAGCUGGUCUGAGAGGAUGACCAGCCACACUGGGACUGAGACACGGCCCAGACUCCUACGGGAGGCAGCAGUGGGGAAUAUUGGACAAUGGGCGAAAGCCUGAUCCAGCCAUGCCGCGUGGGUGAAGAAGGCCUUAGGGUUGUAAACCCCUUUCAGCGGGGAAGAUAAUGACGGUACCCGCAGAAGAAGCCCCGGCUAACUCCGUGCCAGCAGCCGCGGUAAUACGGAGGGGGCUAGCGUUGUUCGGAAUUACUGGGCGUAAAGCGCGCGUAGGCGGACCUGCAAGUCGGGGGUGAAAGCCCGAGGCUCAACCUCGGAACUGCCUUCGAUACUGCGGGUCUCGAGUCCGGGAGAGGUGAGUGGAAUUCCUAGUGUAGAGGUGAAAUUCGUAGAUAUUAGGAAGAACACCAGUGGCGAAGGCGGCUCACUGGCCCGGUACUGACGCUGAGGCGCGAAAGCGUGGGGAGCAAACAGGAUUAGAUACCCCGGUAGUCC
Molecule: ribosomal RNA, 752 nt
Filed under: uncultured bacterium
Lineage: Bacteria
Description: bacterial SSU rRNA
Rfam family: Bacterial small subunit ribosomal RNA
Source: RNAcentral